AAAAAAUCCCAAAAGCUAAAUUUCAGGGAUUUUUGAGUAUCCGUUGGAAAAAAUAAUCUUGAUUCAGUCGAACCGGUGAAGAAAAUGGAAUGUACUUUGGAGGAACAGAUAACCACUCUUUCUUUUACUGGUGAUGAAUCUAUGAUGGAGAUGGGUUCCGGGGAUUACGGGUGCUCGCAUUAUAGAAGGAGAUGCAAAAUU
Molecule: unclassified non-coding RNA, 201 nt
Filed under: Hevea brasiliensis (rubber tree)
Lineage: Eukaryota; Viridiplantae; Streptophyta; Magnoliopsida; Malpighiales; Euphorbiaceae
Source: RNAcentral